UACGGAGGGUGCAAGCGUUAAUCGGAAUUACUGGGCGUAAAGCGCGCGUAGGUGGUGUAUUAAGUUGACUGUGAAAGCCCCGGGCUCAACCUGGGAGGGUCAGUCAAAACUGAUAGACUAGAGUAUGGGAGAGGGCAGUGGAAUUUCCGGUGUAGCGGUGAAAUGCGUAGAGAUCGGAAGGAACACCAGUGGCGAAGGCGACUGCCUGGCCUGAUACUGACACUGAGGUGCGAAAGCGUGGGUAGCGAACAGG
RNAcentral lists this unclassified non-coding RNA (253 nucleotides) under uncultured Legionellales bacterium. RNAcentral's name for it is "contains 16S-23S intergenic spacer region". It matches the Rfam family "Bacterial small subunit ribosomal RNA", at positions 524 to 776 of the family's 1533-position model. Lineage: Bacteria; Pseudomonadati; Pseudomonadota; Gammaproteobacteria; Legionellales. The record is from RNAcentral.